This 2821-nucleotide ribosomal RNA is filed under the name Brassica rapa (field mustard). Its description in RNAcentral is "eukaryotic LSU rRNA". It matches the Rfam family "Eukaryotic large subunit ribosomal RNA", at positions 445 to 3279 of the family's 3401-position model. The record is from RNAcentral. Lineage: Eukaryota; Viridiplantae; Streptophyta; Magnoliopsida; Brassicales; Brassicaceae.
GGAUGCGGAAACGGAGCAAUCCGGUCCGGCGCGAAUCGAUUCGGGGCGUGGACGGACGCGGAUUAAGGUGGUGACCUAAGCCCGGGCUUUUUGUACGCCCGUGGAGACGUCGCUGCCUUAAUCGUGGUCUGCAGCACGCGCCUCACGGCGUGCCUCGGCAUCUGCGUGCUCAGGGCGUCGGCCUGUGGGCUCCCAAUUCGACCCGUCUUGAAACAAGGACCAAGGAGUCUGACAUGUGUUCGAGUCAACGGGUGAGUAAACCCGUAAGGCGCAAGGAAGCUGAUUGGCUGGAUCCCUCACGGGUGUACAGCCGACCGACCUUGACUUUCUGAGAAGGGUUCGAGUGUGAGCAUGCCUGUCGGACCCCGAAAGAUGGUGAACUAUGCCUGAGCGGGGCGAAGCCAUAGGAAACUCUGGUGGAGGCCCGCAGCGGUACGGACGUGCAAAUCGUUCGUCUGACUUGGGUAUAGGGCCGAAAGACUAAUCGAACCAUCUAGUUGCUGGUUCCCUCCGAACUUUCCCUCAGAAUAGCUGGAGCUCGGAAAAGAGUUCUAUUGGGUAAAGCCCAUGAUUAGAGGCAUCGGGGACGCAAUGUCCCUCGACCUAUUCUCAAAACUUUAAAUAGGUAGGACGGGGGUGGCUGCUUUGUUGAGGCAUCCCACGGAAUCGAGAGCUCCAAAGUGGGCCAUUUUUGGUAAGCAGAAUUGGCGAUGCGGGAUGAACCGGAAGCCCGGGUUACGGUGCCCAAAUGCGCGCUAACCUAGAACCAACAAAGGGUGUUGGUCGAUUAAGACAGCAGGACGGUGGUCAUGGUAGUCGAAAUCCGCUAAGGUGUGUGUAACAACUCACCUGGCGAAUCAACUAGCCCCGAAAAUGGAUGGCGUGGAAGCGCGCGACCUAUACCCGGCCGUCGGGCAAAGAGCCAGGCCUCGAUGAGUAGGAGGGCGCGGCGGUCGCUGCAAAACCUAGGGCGCGAGACCGGGCGGAGAGGCCGUCGGUGCAGAUCUUGGUGGUAGUAGCAAAUAUUAAAAAUGAGAACUUUGAAAGCCGAAGAGGGAAAGGGUCCAUGUGAACGGCACCUGCACAUGGGUUAGUCGAUACUAAGAGUCGGGGGAAAACCCGUCUGAUAGCGCUUAGUCGCGAACUUCGGAAGGGGAUCCGGUUAAAAUUCCGGAACGGGGAGGUGGCGGUUGACGGCAACUUUAGGGAGUCCGGAGACGUGGGCGGGGAUUCCGGGAAGGGUUAUCUUUUCUGUUUACAAGCCUGCCCACCCUGGAAACGGCUCAGCCGGGGUAGGGUCCAGCGGCUGGGAAAGCACCGCACGUCGCGUGGUGUCCCGGUUGCAUUCCCGGCGGCACUUGAAAAUCCGGAGGACCGAGGCCCGCUCACGCCCGGUCGUACUCAUAACCGCAUCAAGGCUCCAAGGUGAACAGCCUUUGGUCGAUGGAACAAUGUAAGCAAGGGAAGUCGGGCAAAUGGAUCCGUAACUUCGGGAAAAGGAUUGGCUCUGAGGGCUGGGCUCGGGGUCCCCAGUUCCGAACCGUCGACUGUUGGCGGGUUGCUUGAGCUGCUAACGUGGCGAGAGCGGACCGCGUCGUGUCGGCCGGGGGACGGACUGGGAACGGCUUUUUCGAGAUCUUUCCCCGGGCGUCGAACAGCCAACUCAGAACUGGUAACGACAAGGGGAAUCCGACUGUUUAAUUAAAACAAAGCAUGCGGAUGGUCCCUGCGAAUGCUAACGCAAUGUGAUUCUGCCCAGUGCUCUGAAUGUCAAAGUGAAAAAAUUCAACCAAGCGCGGUAAACGGCGGGAGUAACUAUGACUCGCUUAAGUUAGCCAAAUGCCUCGUCAUCUAAUUAGUGACGCGUAUGAAUGGAUUAACGAGAUGCCCACUGUCCCUGUCUACUAUCCAGCGAAACCACAGCCAAGGGAACGGGCUUGGCAGAAUCAGCGGGAAAGAAGACCCUGUUGAGCUUGACUCUAGUCGACUUUGUGAAAUGACUUGAGAGGUGUAGAAUAAGUGGGGGCUCCGGCGCAAGUGAAAUACCACUACCUUUAACGUUAUUUUACUUACUCCGUGAAUCGGAGGCGGUGUAACAACCCCUUCUUUUAGAACCAAGACUCCCUUCGGCGGGUCGAUCCGGGCGGAGGACAUUGUCAGUGGGGGAGUUUGGCUGGGGCGGCACAUCUGUUAAAAGAUAACGCAGGUGUCCUAAGAUGAGCUCAACGAGAAUAGAAAUCUCGUGUGGAACAAAAAGGGUAAAAGCUCGUUUGAAUUCUGAUUUUCAGUACGAUUACGAACCGUGAAAGCGUGGCCUAUCGAUCCUUAGACCUUCGGAAUUUGAAGCUAGAGGUGUCAGAAAAGUUACCACAGGUAUAACUGGCUUGUGGCAGCCAACCGUUCAUAGCGACGUUGCUUUUUGAUCCUUCGAUGUCGCUCUUCCUAUCAUUGUGAAGCAGAAUUCACCAAGUGUGGGAUUGUUCAACAACCAAUAGGGAACGUGAGUUGGGUUUAGACCGUCGUGAGACAGGUUAUUUUUACCCUACUGAUGCCCGCGUCGCAAUAGUAAUUCAACCAAGUACGAGAGGAACCGUUGAUUCGCACAAUUGGUCAUCGCGCUUGGUUGAAAAGCAGUGGCGCGAAGCUACCGUGCGCUGGAUUAUGACGAAACGCCUCUAAGUCAGAAUCCGGCGUAGAAGCGACGCAUGCGCGCGCCGCCCGAUUGCCGACCUUCAGUAGGAGCUUCGGCUCCCAAAGGCACCGUGUCGUUGGCUAAGUCCGUUCGGUGAAAGCACCGUUCGGACCGCAUUGAAUUAUAAUU